Molecule: ribosomal RNA, 895 nt
Filed under: Hapsidospora inversa
Lineage: Eukaryota; Fungi; Ascomycota; Sordariomycetes; Hypocreales; Bionectriaceae
Description: LSU rRNA
Rfam family: Eukaryotic large subunit ribosomal RNA
Source: RNAcentral
GCAUAUCAAUAAGCGGAGGAAAAGAAACCAACAGGGAUUGCCUCAGUAACGGCGAGUGAAGCGGCAACAGCUCAAAUUUGAAAUCUGGCCCCCCGGCCCGAGUUGUAAUUUGCAGAGGAUGCUUCUGGCGACGUGCCUUCCGAGUUCCCUGGAACGGGACGCCAUAGAGGGUGAGAGCCCCGUCCGGUUGUGCGCCUAGCCUCUGUGAAGCUCCUUCGACGAGUCGAGUAGUUUGGGAAUGCUGCUCUAAAUGGGAGGUAUACGUCUUCUAAAGCUAAAUACCGGCCAGAGACCGAUAGCGCACAAGUAGAGUGAUCGAAAGAUGAAAAGCACUUUGAAAAGAGGGUUAAAUAGUACGUGAAAUUGCUGAAAGGGAAGCGCUUAUGACCAGACUUGGGCCCGGUGAAUCAUCCAGCGUUCUCGCUGGUGCACUUUGCCGGCCCAGGCCAGCAUCAGUUCGCGCCGGGGGAUAAAGGCUUCGGGAAUGUAGCUCCCUCGGGAGUGUUAUAGACCGUUGCGCAAUACCCUGGCGCGGACUGAGGUACGCGUUCUGCAAGGAUGCUGGCGUAAUGGUCAUCAGUGACCCGUCUUGAAACACGGACCAAGGAGUCGUCUUUGUAUGCGAGUGUUCGGGUGUCAAACCCCUACGCGUAAUGAAAGUGAACGUAGGAGAGAGCUUCGGCGCAUCUCCGACCGAUCCUGAUGUUCUCGGAUGGAUUUGAGUAAGAGCAUACAGGGCCGGACCCGAAAGAAGGUGAACUAUGCCUGUAUAGGGUGAAGCCAGAGGAAACUCUGGUGGAGGCUCGCAGCGGUUCUGACGUGCAAAUCGAUCGUCAAAUAUGGGCAUGGGGGGCGAAAGACUAAUCGAACCUUUCUAGUAGCUGGUUUCCGCCGA